UUCGUCUUUUAAUUGAGGACUGGAAUGAAAGAGUAAACUGAAAGAACUUUUUUUUUGUUGAAGAAAUGAAUUUUACUUUUUAGUAAGAAGGCUAAAAUAAUUCUUUAAGACGAGAAGACCCUAUAAAACUUCAUAUUUUUUCUUCAAUAAUAAAAGGAAAAAUAUUUUACUGGGGCGGUAGAGAAAUUUGACUUUCUUUGAAAGAAGAAACAGAAAAGUUUUUAUAUCUAGAAUUUCUGAAGAAGGAAUAAGUUACUUUAGGGAUAACAGCUUAAUACAUUCGGAAAGAUCAAAUUGAUGAAUGAGUUUAUGACCUCGAUGUUGAAUUAAAAUUUCUUUCUUAUGUAGUAG
RNAcentral lists this ribosomal RNA (351 nucleotides) under Microbuthus kristensenorum. RNAcentral describes it as "partial large subunit ribosomal RNA". The record is from RNAcentral. Lineage: Eukaryota; Metazoa; Arthropoda; Arachnida; Scorpiones; Buthidae.